CAAAAUGUACAAUUAGUCUCUAUCUGGUUCUAAAGAAGAAUUCAGCCAUACACCAAAGAAAACAUCUCUUGAGCAUUCACUGAUUUGGGUGAGAUUGCCCAAAAUGUACUAUUAGUCUUUCUCUGGUUCUAAAGAAGAGUUCAGCCAUACACCAAAGAAAACAUCGCUUUGAGCAUUCAAAUUUUGAAUUUCACCUCUCCAUUUCCCCAAAUGUUUAGCUUUUGAAUUCCACCGAGCAAAGCAAUCCAUUGACUUUCUCAUAUCUCAUUCUUCACAGUUCACGCCAACUCAACUCAUCUGGUUUUCUCUCUACGCACAACAUCAUCUGGUUCUCUCUAUUAGAGAUGAUUAGAAGCAUGAAGCUUCAAAUCUGAUAUUAGAUCGAUCAAGCAAGUUAUCCGUGGCACUCACGGAGGUGUAGACUUCACAGUCUUAGAGGUGAGUUCUUGGCACUCACCGGAGGUGUAGAUUUCACUGUCACAGAGGUAAGGGGUUAGAUUCUGAAACUGGAAGUACUGUUGGUGGAGGAAACAUGGUUGGAAGUUUUUUCUUUAUAUAGUUCUACCCCAUAUGGCCAGCUAAAAGCUAUCAUCAUUGGUCAGGUGUUUACUUGAAUUUGUUUAAAAUUAGAUCUGUAAUUAUAGUUUUGUUUGUAUAAAUAUUUGGACGAUAAGUACACGGGUUGAAGCGAGCUGGUUUUUUAGAGGAAGGGGUGACUCAAGUUCAGAUGCGAGUUCAGAGAGUAGUGAGAGUGCCGCUGAAGAUAAUUUGUUAUUCUUUUACCAGUUGGAUUUGGCAACGCCAGCACAGGUUCAGACACGGGAAUCGCUUGUUGACCAUGAUGGAAUUAUGGGUUUCGCAUAGCCUCUUGGGAAGACGGAUUAAAUCCCAAUUUGAAUUUGAAGCCUAUAUGCCAAGCUUUUGCUGAAGAAAAGAAAAGUUAACGUUUAAAGUUUGUUUGGUCAAGAAUAUAGAUCAAGAAUUCCUGUCCAACUCUACCUAACCUAAAGAUGUUUAUUAUUAUUUAUUAAUAUUUAUUAUUAUUAUUAUUAUUA
Molecule: long non-coding RNA, 1055 nt
Organism: Helianthus annuus (common sunflower)
Lineage: Eukaryota; Viridiplantae; Streptophyta; Magnoliopsida; Asterales; Asteraceae
Exons: 4
Source: RefSeq, a predicted model, not a curated record